AGACGGGAAGCAGAGAGCUCAUACAAGACACAAGCCACCACCGUGACCAGAAAGCCCACGUGAAGAACAUGAACCCUGCUGCCAGACACGCUGUUACGAUAUGAAGAAACUUGUCAAGAAAACAAAAACAAAACAAAAGUUACAAGUAUUAGAGAGUAGCUGUGGGGACAAAUGAUUAUUAAUGAGUAUAAAAUAAUCUUCCUUAAGAAGCAAUUUUAUAGAUGCAUUCUCAUGCCUAAAUACCAUCCUCCAAUGAAAUGUUUCAACUAAGAAAACCCAGCAGCUCUCCCUAUGCUUCCAAUAUUUCUUGAGACUGCAGCAGCGACUGGUUCUGACGUAGCUGUGGUGACACUUCUGUCCAAACCUGAGAGUGUUGCAAUAAAUGUUAUAACACA
Peromyscus eremicus (cactus mouse) is the source of this 395-nucleotide long non-coding RNA. RefSeq lists it as uncharacterized. The record is from RefSeq and is a predicted model, not a curated record. The transcript has 2 exons. NCBI's taxonomy places the organism in Eukaryota, Metazoa, Chordata, Mammalia, Rodentia, Cricetidae.